GAGUGGUGUUUGGUUUGUUACGUGUGGUUGGCUGCGGCGUUUGCAACAACUUCCAUGCUCUCAGACCUCUUCAGUUGUGCGGCAAGGCUUGUAUCGCCUUGAGCGUAUCGUGGGUUUUCUGUGUUGGCUACCUAAUCGACGGUAUCGUUUGGACUGAUCAAAGUGUGAUUUCGUCUUCCGUCGCGUUUGCGGCGUGAGGUGAACCUUGACGCGGUCUCUUUGAUCCAUCUCGUCGAAGCAUAUGCUUUGACGUUGUGGCACAUUGGGCAUUGCUUGGUCUCUUGUGUACGGAACAUGUAGCGGGCAUGGAUCUAACGAUUCUUGUUUGCCCUCAUAUUAGCGUAACGCUUCUCGAACACGACUUGCAUCGCGUUUAGCUCGUAC
This 384-nucleotide unclassified non-coding RNA is filed under the name Artemisia tschernieviana. Its description in RNAcentral is "partial external transcribed spacer". Lineage: Eukaryota; Viridiplantae; Streptophyta; Magnoliopsida; Asterales; Asteraceae. The record is from RNAcentral.